UACGUAGGUGGCGAGCGUUGUCCGGAUUUAUUGGGCGUAAAGCGCGCGCAGGCGGUCUGUUACGUCCGUUGUGAAAGCUCCCGGCUCAACUGGGAGAGGUCUUCGGAUACGGGCGGACUCGAGGAAGGUAGAGGAAGGUGGAAUUCCCGGUGUAGUGGUGAAAUGCGUAGAGAUCGGGAGGAACAUCUGUGGCGAAGGCGACUACCUGGACCAGCACUGACACUGAGGCACGAAAGCGUGGGGAGCAAACAGG
RNAcentral lists this ribosomal RNA (253 nucleotides) under uncultured bacterium. RNAcentral describes it as "partial 16S ribosomal RNA". It matches the Rfam family "Bacterial small subunit ribosomal RNA", at positions 524 to 776 of the family's 1533-position model. The record is from RNAcentral.